This 2673-nucleotide ribosomal RNA is filed under the name Salmonella enterica subsp. enterica serovar Enteritidis. RNAcentral describes it as "partial 23S ribosomal RNA". It matches the Rfam family "Bacterial large subunit ribosomal RNA". Lineage: Bacteria; Pseudomonadati; Pseudomonadota; Gammaproteobacteria; Enterobacterales; Enterobacteriaceae. The record is from RNAcentral.
ACCGGCGAUACCCGAAUGGGGAAACCCAGUGUGACUCGUCACACUAUCAUUAACUGAAUCCAUAGGUUAAUGAGGCGAACCGGGGGAACUGAAACAUCUAAGUACCCCGAGGAAAAGAAAUCAACCGAGAUUCCCCCAGUAGCGGCGAGCGAACGGGGAGGAGCCCAGAGCCUGAAUCAGCAUGUGUGUUAGUGGAAGCGUCUGGAAAGGCGCGCGAUACAGGGUGACAGCCCCGUACACAAAAGCGCAUGUGCUGUGAGCUCGAUGAGUAGGGCGGGACACGUGGUAUCCUGUCUGAAUAUGGGGGGACCAUCCUCCAAGGCUAAAUACUCCUGACUGACCGAUAGUGAACCAGUACCGUGAGGGAAAGGCGAAAAGAACCCCGGCGAGGGGAGUGAAAAAGAACCUGAAACCGUGUACGUACAAGCAGUGGGAGCACCCUUUGGGUGUGACUGCGUACCUUUUGUAUAAUGGGUCAGCGACUUAUAUUCUGUAGCAAGGUUAACCGAAUAGGGGAGCCGGAGGGAAACCGAGUCUUAAUUGGGCGUUAAGUUGCAGGGUAUAGACCCGAAACCCGGUGAUCUAGCCAUGGGCAGGUUGAAGGUUGGGUAACACUAACUGGAGGACCGAACCGACUAAUGUUGAAAAAUUAGCGGAUGACCUGUGGCUGGGGGUGAAAGGCCAAUCAAACCGGGAGAUAGCUGGUUCUCCCCGAAAGCUAUUUAGGUAGCGCCUCGUGAAUUCAUCUCCGGGGGUAGAGCACUGUUUCGGCUAGGGGGCCAUCCCGGCUUACCAACCCGAUGCAAACUGCGAAUACCGGAGAAUGUUAUCACGGGAGACACACGGCGGGUGCUAACGUCCGUCGUGAAGAGGGAAACAACCCAGACCGCCAGCUAAGGUCCCAAAGUCAUGGUUAAGUGGGAAACGAUGUGGGAAGGCCCAGACAGCCAGGAUGUUGGCUUAGAAGCAGCCAUCAUUUAAAGAAAGCGUAAUAGCUCACUGGUCGAGUCGGCCUGCGCGGAAGAUGUAACGGGGCUAAACCAUGCACCGAAGCUGCGGCAGCGACGCUUAUGCGUUGUUGGGUAGGGGAGCGUUCUGUAAGCCUGCGAAGGUGGCCUGUGAGGGUUGCUGGAGGUAUCAGAAGUGCGAAUGCUGACAUAAGUAACGAUAAAGCGGGUGAAAAGCCCGCUCGCCGGAAGACCAAGGGUUCCUGUCCAACGUUAAUCGGGGCAGGGUGAGUCGACCCCUAAGGCGAGGCCGAAAGGCGUAGUCGAUGGGAAACGGGUUAAUAUUCCCGUACUUGGUGUUACUGCGAAGGGGGGACGGAGAAGGCUAUGUUGGCCGGGCGACGGUUGUCCCGGUUUAAGCGUGUAGGCUGGUUUUCCAGGCAAAUCCGGAAAAUCAAGGCUGAGGCGUGAUGACGAGGCACUACGGUGCUGAAGCAACAAAUGCCCUGCUUCCAGGAAAAGCCUCUAAGCAUCAGGUAACAUCAAAUCGUACCCCAAACCGACACAGGUGGUCAGGUAGAGAAUACCAAGGCGCUUGAGAGAACUCGGGUGAAGGAACUAGGCAAAAUGGUGCCGUAACUUCGGGAGAAGGCACGCUGACACGUAGGUGAAGUGAUUUACUCACGGAGCUGAAGUCAGUCGAAGAUACCAGCUGGCUGCAACUGUUUAUUAAAAACACAGCACUGUGCAAACACGAAAGUGGACGUAUACGGUGUGACGCCUGCCCGGUGCCGGAAGGUUAAUUGAUGGGGUCAGCGCAAGCGAAGCUCCUGAUCGAAGCCCCGGUAAACGGCGGCCGUAACUAUAACGGUCCUAAGGUAGCGAAAUUCCUUGUCGGGUAAGUUCCGACCUGCACGAAUGGCGUAAUGAUGGCCAGGCUGUCUCCACCCGAGACUCAGUGAAAUUGAACUCGCUGUGAAGAUGCAGUGUACCCGCGGCAAGACGGAAAGACCCCGUGAACCUUUACUAUAGCUUGACACUGAACAUUGAGCCUUGAUGUGUAGGAUAGGUGGGAGGCUUUGAAGUGUGGACGCCAGUCUGCAUGGAGCCGACCUUGAAAUACCACCCUUUAAUGUUUGAUGUUCUAACGUGGACCCGUUACCCGGGUUGCGGACAGUGUCUGGUGGGUAGUUUGACUGGGGCGGUCUCCUCCUAAAGAGUAACGGAGGAGCACGAAGGUUGGCUAAUCCUGGUCGGACAUCAGGAGGUUAGUGCAAUGGCAUAAGCCAGCUUGACUGCGAGCGUGACGGCGCGAGCAGGUGCGAAAGCAGGUCAUAGUGAUCCGGUGGUUCUGAAUGGAAGGGCCAUCGCUCAACGGAUAAAAGGUACUCCGGGGAUAACAGGCUGAUACCGCCCAAGAGUUCAUAUCGACGGCGGUGUUUGGCACCUCGAUGUCGGCUCAUCACAUCCUGGGGCUGAAGUAGGUCCCAAGGGUAUGGCUGUUCGCCAUUUAAAGUGGUACGCGAGCUGGGUUUAGAACGUCGUGAGACAGUUCGGUCCCUAUCUGCCGUGGGCGCUGGAGAACUGAGGGGGGCUGCUCCUAGUACGAGAGGACCGGAGUGGACGCAUCACUGGUGUUCGGGUUGUCAUGCCAAUGGCACUGCCCGGUAGCUAAAUGCGGAAGAGAUAAGUGCUGAAAGCAUCUAAGCACGAAACUUGCCCCGAG